GUUUACACAAGUACAUAGGUUCAAGCUCUCCUUUAGUGAGUACAAGUGAAUGAUUUAGUACAAAUGACAUUAGGAAAUAUUGUGGGAGAAUGAUCUCGUAAUCACGAAACUUCUAAGUAUCGGAGUGUGGUGUCGUCUUGACUUGCCUUAUCUGUCUCAUAGGUAGAUGUGGCAUCUUCUCUGGAAGUACUCUUCCUCCAUCAGGGGUGGUAUCUUUAACUGGUGGAGAUGCACAAGGUAAUGUAUCAAUUUCACUUGAAGCUUACUUGUAGUUUCAGGCUUGGUCAAGCGCGAUACAAACCAUGUAGUAGGAGUCUCCCAAGUCGCCGAGCUAGGGGGUCUGCUGAAAGAGGUGACAGACAAGGUAAGCAAUCAGAGAGCUCCGACUGAUUGUUCACCUUCUCCCCAUCUUGCAGCAGCAUGAAGGAUAAAGAGAAGAAAAAUGAGAAGAGAUGAUAUGAGAUACUUUUGCUUUUGAAGAAGUAACUUUCCACAGGCUUAUUCUUGAACUGAGCUG
This 517-nucleotide long non-coding RNA is filed under the name Malus domestica (apple). RNAcentral describes it as "long non-coding RNA (MDOM_LNC016562)". Lineage: Eukaryota; Viridiplantae; Streptophyta; Magnoliopsida; Rosales; Rosaceae. The record is from RNAcentral.